GAAGGCAGAAAUCAAAAUGUAAAAAAAUAUAUUAAUAGAAUACGUACCUGUAGUGGUGUGGCUUUACAUUUAGGACAUGUGUUGGUCUACUAAUUAGAAUUUAGGUACGUAAUCCAAAUUCUCUAUGUUUUAGAUUAAGAGAUAUUAAUCUAAGGAAGACACGCAACCCAUGUUCCAUUCCUGCAUAUUACUGUUCUUCUACUAAAAAAUAUUAGGAAGAAAGAAAAGAAAAUAGAACUUGAAUCUCUGUGAUUAAAAAAAGUACUAAAUGAAAAAUCUGAAAAAGCUCUCACAAAAUAAUUCGAACACAGAAAAAACGCAGUAAAUGCAAAUUUGAACACACCACUUAUUACCCAAAAAAGCUUCCUUUCUUUUUUCCUUCGCAGGACACAGGACAAAAAACUUUCACUUUUUUAAAUAUAUAUAUGCAAUAAUUAUGAAAAAUAAAAUGCGUACUAUCUCUCUCUCUUUCUUUUAUAUUAAUCUGCCAAAAUAAAAUUAUAUAUAUGAAUAAAUAAAAAAGACACGAUUCUGUGAUUGCAAAUCGCAUCUCUGCCAUUCUUCCUCUUCUUUCUCCUCUGCCAAAUUUCUCCAAAAGUAGUAUUUCCGAUUUUCUACUUUUCUGUACAAAUCAAAAACCCUCCGUUCUUUUUCCCUUUCAUUCAUAAUAACAUACUCUAAAUUAACAGUCCCAAAAUACCCUCUGUUUUUCACAAUCACAAAAGAAAAAAGAAAAAAAGAAAGAAAAAGAAAACCAUGGGUAUUUUUGGGAAAAAGAAGUAACAAAAAACACAAAAACUAUUGUACUAGUUAUGCAGAGGAUCGGGGCAGCUGGGGACCGUUCGUUUGUUCUCUUCAAACUCUCUUGAACCCAAACUUCUUCUUCCAUUGAAAUACUUCUCCUUGCUUCCGACAGCCCCCAUAUCUGGAUUUUCCCUUUCCCGUAACGAUCUAGCGAUAGUUCUGGCUGCUUGGUUGCCGACCACCACCCAGAUGAAGAAAAACAUUAUGAAGAAAUAUGAGAGAAGUCGCCGCCGACGUGAGGGAGUGGCGCUGCCGUCGUACAUUGCAGGAAAACCCACCAUUGGGAUUGUUUCCUUUUGGAAUGGUUAAUGGGAUUUGGAUUUGAUGAUAAUUUAUAAAUUAUGGAUGGAGCUUGAUUCAGAAAGUUAUAUGGGCAAUUGAGUUGACGAUUAACGGCUAGAGAGAGAAAGAUGGAGACAGAAAGAGAGAGAGAGUGUUUGAGGGGGGGAGUAGUGACCCCAUGUGAAGGCAGUAAAAUAGAAAUAUAAGGGACCCUCUCUACACCUAUGUUCUUUUCUUAAAAAAAAAAAAUCAACUACAUUAUUUACAAUUUUGUAUUAAUUAAAAUUUUUAACCAACAAGCUGUUUAGACAUUUGUACUGAUCUUGACUUUAUGUUCUAUGUAAAUAAAUAAAGACUCAUAAUUUCACAAAUUUAACCCACAUCUAACCAAAUCUAUAGACUUUACUUGCAUUGCAUUUAAAAACAUACGAUACGUACAUUUACUUUAAUAUCGUUAAUUUUGUUAAUCAAUA
This 1559-nucleotide long non-coding RNA is filed under the name Cucumis sativus (cucumber). RNAcentral describes it as "long non-coding RNA (CSAT_LNC002193)". Lineage: Eukaryota; Viridiplantae; Streptophyta; Magnoliopsida; Cucurbitales; Cucurbitaceae. The record is from RNAcentral.